RNAcentral lists this ribosomal RNA (497 nucleotides) under uncultured bacterium. Its description in RNAcentral is "partial 16S ribosomal RNA". It matches the Rfam family "Bacterial small subunit ribosomal RNA", at positions 28 to 507 of the family's 1533-position model. The record is from RNAcentral.
GAUGAACGCUGGCGGCGUGCCUAAUACAUGCAAGUCGAGCGAACGGACGAGAAGCUUGCUUCUCUGAUGUUAGCGGCGGACGGGUGAGUAACACGUGGAUAACCUACCUAUAAGACUGGGAUAACUUCGGGGAACCGGAGCUAAUACCGGAUGAUAUUUUGAACCGCAUGGUUCAAAAGUGAAAGACGGUCUUGCUGUCACUUAUAGAUGGAUCCGCGCUGCAUUAGCUAGUUGGUAAGGUAACGGCUUACCAAGGCAACGAUGCAUAGCCGACCUGAGAGGGUGAUCGGCCACACUGGAACUGAGACACGGUCCAGACUCCUACGGGAGGCAGCAGUAGGGAAUCUUCCGCAAUGGGCGAAAGCCUGACGGAGCAACGCCGCGUGAGUGAUGAAGGUCUUCGGAUCGUAAAACUCUGUUAUUAGGGAAGAACAUAUGUGUAAGUAACUGUGCACAUCUUGACGGUACCUAAUCAGAAAGCCACGGCUAACUACGUG